RNAcentral lists this ribosomal RNA (443 nucleotides) under uncultured bacterium. Its description in RNAcentral is "partial 16S ribosomal RNA". It matches the Rfam family "Bacterial small subunit ribosomal RNA", at positions 338 to 795 of the family's 1533-position model. The record is from RNAcentral.
CCUACGGGAGGCAGCAGUGGGGAAUAUUGGGCAAUGGGCGCAAGCCUGACCCAGCAACGCCGCGUGAAGGAAGAAGGCCCUCGGGUUGUAAACUUCUUUUAUCAAGGACGAAACAAAUGACGGUACUUGAUGAAUAAGCUACGGCUAACUACGUCCCAGCAGCCGCGGGAAUACGUAGGUGGCAAGCGUGAUCCGGAUUUACUGGGUGCAAAGGGCGGGUAGGCGGGACUGCAAGUCAGAUGUGAAAACCAUGGGCUCACCCCAUGGCCUGCAUUUGAAACUGUAGUUCUUGCGUGUUGGAGAGGCCGGCGGAAUUCCGUGUGUAGCGGUGAACUGCGUAGAUAUGCGGAGGACCACCAGUGGCGAAGGCGGCCUGCUGGACAAUAACUGACGCUGAGGCGCGACAGCGUGGGGAGCAAACAGGAUUAGAUACCCGUGUAGUC